UGCCGCGUGCGGGAAGAAGGCCUUCGGGUUGUAAACCGCUUUUAGUCGGGAAGAAAAGGCCAGGCCUAAUACGUCUGGUUCUUGACGGUACCGGCGGAAUAAGCACCGGCUAACUACGUGCCAGCAGCCGCGGUAAUACGUAGGGUGCGAGCGUUAAUCGGAAUUACUGGGCGUAAAGCGUGCGCAGGCGGUUCGUUAAGUCUGAUGUGAAAGCCCCGGGCUCAACCUGGGAAUGGCAUUGGAAACUGGCGGGCUUGAGUGUGGCAGAGGGGGGUGGAAUUCCGCGUGUAGCAGUGAAAUGCGUAGAGAUGCGGAGGAACACCGAUGGCGAAGGCAGCCCCCUGGGCUAACACUGACGCUCAGGCACGAAAGCGUGGGGAGCAAACAGGAUUAGAUACCCUGGUAGUCCACGCCCUAAACGAUGAUCACUGGGUGUUCGGGGAGCGAUCUCUGAGUACCGAAGCUAACGCGUGAAGUGAUCCGCCUGGGGAGUACGGUCGCAAGAUUAAAACUCAAAGGAAUUGACGGGGACCCGCACAAGCGGUGGAUGAUGUGGAUUAAUUCGAUGCAACGCGAACAACCUUACCUACCCUUGACAUGUCCGGAAGCCCGGUGAGAGCUGGGGGUGCCCGAAAGGGAACCGGAACACAGGUGCUGCAUGGCUGUCGUCAGCUCGUGUAGUGAGAUGUUGGGUUAAGUCCCGCAACGAGCGCAACCCUUGUCCCUAGUUGCUACGCAAGGGCACUCUAGGGAGACUGCCGGUGACAAACCGGAGGAAGGUGGGGAUGACGUCAAGUCCUCAUGGCCCUUAUAGGUGGGGCUACACACGUCAUACAAUGGCCGGUACAAAGGGUCGCAAACCCGCGAGGGGGAGCCAAUCCAUCAAAGCCGGUCGUAGCCCGGAUCGCAGUCUG
RNAcentral lists this ribosomal RNA (914 nucleotides) under uncultured bacterium. RNAcentral's name for it is "bacterial SSU rRNA". It matches the Rfam family "Bacterial small subunit ribosomal RNA", at positions 395 to 1307 of the family's 1533-position model. The record is from RNAcentral.